GGUUGAUCCUGCCAGUAGUCAUAUGCUUGUCUCAAAGAUUAAGCCAUGCAUGUCUAAGUAUAAGCAACUUGUACAGUGAAACUGCGAAUGGCUCAUUAAAUCAGUUAUCGUUUAUUUGAUAAUCCCUUACUACAUGGAUACCUGUGGUAAUUCUAGAGCUAAUACAUGCUUCAAAGAGUGGCUUUCGUCACUCUGCACUUAUUAGAUAAAAAACCAAUGCCCCUUUGGGGCUCCCUGGUGAUUCAUAAUAAUUUAGCGGACCGCAUUCCCUCGAGGAGGCGGUGGAUCAUUCA
Molecule: ribosomal RNA, 293 nt
Filed under: uncultured eukaryote
Lineage: Eukaryota
Description: partial 18S ribosomal RNA
Rfam family: Eukaryotic small subunit ribosomal RNA
Source: RNAcentral